This 508-nucleotide ribosomal RNA is filed under the name uncultured bacterium. RNAcentral's name for it is "partial 16S ribosomal RNA". It matches the Rfam family "Bacterial small subunit ribosomal RNA", at positions 28 to 523 of the family's 1533-position model. The record is from RNAcentral.
GAUGAACGCUAGCUACAGGCUUAACACAUGCAAGUCGAGGGGAAACGAUAUUGAAAGCUUGCUUUUGAUGGGCGUCGACCGGCGCACGGGUGAGUAACGCGUAUCCAACCUGCCCACCACUUGGGGAUAACCUUGCGAAAGUAAGACUAAUACCAAAUGACGUCUCUAGAAGACAUCUGAAGGAGAUUAAAGAUUUAUCGGUGAUGGAUGGGGAUGCGUCUGAUUAGCUUGUUGGCGGGGUAGCGGCCCACCAAGGCGACGAUCAGUAGGGGUUCUGAGAGGAAGGUCCCCCACAUUGGAACUGAGACACGGUCCAAACUCCUACGGGAGGCAGCAGUGAGGAAUAUUGGUCAAUGGGCGAGAGCCUGAACCAGCCAAGUAGCGUGCAGGAUGACGGCCCUAUGGGUUGUAAACUGCUUUUAUAAGGGAAUAAAGUGAGUCUCGUGAGACUUUUUGCAUGUACCUUAUGAAUAAGGACCGGCUAACUACGUGCCAGCCGCCGCAGUAA